GACGAACGCUGGCGGCGUGCUUAACACAUGCAAGUCGAACGGAAAGGCCCGGCGUUGGUGGGGUGCUCGAGUGGCGAAAGGGUGAGUAACAAGUGAGUAACCUGCCCUUGACUUUGGGAUAACUUCAGGAAACUGGGGCUAAUACGGGAAAGGAGCUCCUGCGGCAGAGUGGGGGUAGGAAAGUUUCGGCGGUUGGGGUUGGACUCGCGGCUUAUCAGCUUGUUGGUGGGGUGGUGGCUUACCAAGGCUUUGACGGGUAGCCGGCCUGAGAGGGUGACCGGCCACAUUGGGACUGAGAUACGGCCCAGACUCCUACGGGAGGCAGCAGUGGGGAAUAUUGCACAAUGGGCGGAAGCCUGAUGCAGCAACGCCGCGUGCGGGAUGACGGCCUUCGGGUUGUAAACCGCUUUCGCCUGUGACGAAGCGUGAGUGACGGUAAUGGGUAAAGAAGCACCGGCUAACUACGUG
Molecule: ribosomal RNA, 468 nt
Filed under: uncultured bacterium
Lineage: Bacteria
Description: partial 16S ribosomal RNA
Rfam family: Bacterial small subunit ribosomal RNA
Source: RNAcentral